UUAAACUAAAGAGUUUGAUCCUGGCUCAGAUUGAACGCUGGCGGCAUGCCUUACACAUGCAAGUCGAACGGCAGCACGGAGCUUGCUCUGGUGGCGAGUGGCGAACGGGUGAGUAAUAUAUCGGAACGUACCCUGGAGUGGGGGAUAACGUAGCGAAAGUUACGCUAAUACCGCAUACGAUCUAAGGAUGAAAGCAGGGGA
RNAcentral lists this ribosomal RNA (201 nucleotides) under Duganella sp. OV458. RNAcentral describes it as "16S rRNA. Bacterial SSU". It matches the Rfam family "Bacterial small subunit ribosomal RNA", at positions 1 to 209 of the family's 1533-position model. The record is from RNAcentral. Lineage: Bacteria; Pseudomonadati; Pseudomonadota; Betaproteobacteria; Burkholderiales; Oxalobacteraceae.